This is a long non-coding RNA of Myripristis murdjan (pinecone soldierfish), 274 nucleotides long. RefSeq lists it as uncharacterized. The transcript is spliced from 3 exons. The record is from RefSeq and is a predicted model, not a curated record. Lineage: Eukaryota; Metazoa; Chordata; Actinopteri; Holocentriformes; Holocentridae.
AAAAAAACCUCCAUGUUGAGGCUGCGUCAGUUUUCGACAGUUACAUCUGAGGGAGUGUCCGCUGAGCCACAGGGUCGGCUGAGAUGGAAACCGGUGCUGGCAGAAGCAGGAGAAUUGUCAUGGCUUUCUGGCUUACUCUUAUCAAUAACCCCAAGAAAGCUGCCAUCCUCAUCUCCAUCUUCCUGGUUGGGCCCGCUGUGUAUGUGCAGCGAUGUAACAUCACCACACUGGAGACUCCAGCAGUGGCCAAAGUAACAGCUGUUCAUCGGGUGUU